GGGCAGCCCCCGUCCCGUGACGCCUCACUCAGAACACGGCGUGGCCCAGGGGACGGCUGUGUCCCCGGCUCCGGCCGUGGCUGCCCCGGGCUGUGAAACCCGCCCGACAAUGGGUCGCGUUCCCCGCCAGCCCUAAUGAUGCUGCUCGGCCGUCCCACCGUGCCCCCGAGGGGCCUGGGCCGCGUCCCUGCGAGGGAGGGGACCGGGAGGGGGCCGUCGGAGCUGCCCCGUCCUCCUGCGAGACGAGCGGCGAGCGACGGCACUCGGACAGGGCCAGUGCCAUUGCCAUUGCCAUGUCCCCAACCCCGGGGUGGCCGCUGGUGGCGGGGAGAUUCCGGAGGAACUGGUCCCCCCGCGACGCCCUGGCACGGGGCCUCGGCCCUCCGCAGCCCCACGGGAACCAAACGCAGACUGCUGGAGCGGGGAGCCGCUGCGUGGAGCUGAUCUCUGUGGCUGGAAUCCCACCCGGCAGCAGGAGGAAGGACCCCAGGCCCAUAGCGAGGCAGCGUCUGGCCCACAAAGGGUUACGCAAGGCAGCACCCAGGAGUGUCACCGCUGCCACCAACCCUGGCGCUCAGCUCCUUCCUGGUCAGAUUCAGCCACGGGGGACGAGCCGCAGUGCGGUGAGUGCUGGGGGACGGGGACAC
RNAcentral lists this long non-coding RNA (647 nucleotides) under Gallus gallus (chicken). RNAcentral's name for it is "long non-coding RNA NONGGAT005590". Lineage: Eukaryota; Metazoa; Chordata; Aves; Galliformes; Phasianidae. The record is from RNAcentral.